AUUGAACGCUGGCGGCAGGCCUAACACAUGCAAGUCGAACGGUAGCACAGAGAGCUUGCUCUCGGGUGACGAGUGGCGGACGGGUGAGUAACGUCUGGGAAACUGCCCGAUGGAGGGGGAUAACUACUGGAAACGGUAGCUAAUACCGCAUAACGUCGCAAGACCAAAGUGGGGGACCUUCGGGCCUCACACCAUCGGAGGGGCCCAGAUGGGAUUAGCUAGUAGGUGGGGUAAUGGCUCACCUAGGCGACGAUCCCUAGCUGGUCUGAGAGGAUGACCAGCCACACUGGAACUGAGACACGGUCCAGACUUCUACGGGAGGCAGCAGUGGGGAAUAUUGCACAAUGGGCGCAAGCCUGAUGCAGCCAUGCCGCGUGUAUGAAGAAGGCCUUCGGGUUGUAAAGUACUUUCAGCGGGGAGGAAGGCGGUGAAGUUAAUAACUUCACCGAUUGACGUUACCCGCAGAAGAAGCACCGGCUAACUCCGUGCCAGCCGCCGCCGUAA
This 504-nucleotide ribosomal RNA is filed under the name uncultured bacterium. RNAcentral's name for it is "partial 16S ribosomal RNA". It matches the Rfam family "Bacterial small subunit ribosomal RNA", at positions 29 to 523 of the family's 1533-position model. The record is from RNAcentral.